GACGAACGCUGGCGGCGUGCUUAACACAUGCAAGUCGAACGGAAAGGCCCUGCUUUUGUGGGGUGCUCGAGUGGCGAACGGGUGAGUAACACGUGAGUAACCUGCCCUUGACUUUGGGAUAACUUCAGGAAACUGGGGCUAAUACCGGAUAGGAGCUCCUGCUGCAUGGUGGGGGUUGGAAAGUUUCGGCGGUUGGGGAUGGACUCGCGGCUUAUCAGCUUGUUGGUGGGGUAGUGGCUUACCAAGGCUUUGACGGGUAGCCGGCCUGAGAGGGUGACCGGCCACAUUGGGACUGAGAGACGGCCCAGACUCCUACAGGAGGCAGCAGUGGGGAAUAUUGCACGAUGGGCGGAAGCCUGAUGCAGCAACGCCGCGUGCGGGAUGACGGCCUUCGGGUUGUAAACCGCUUUCGCCUGUGACGAAGCGUGAGUGACGGUAAUGGGUAAAGAAGCACCGGCUAACUACGUG
RNAcentral lists this ribosomal RNA (468 nucleotides) under uncultured bacterium. RNAcentral's name for it is "partial 16S ribosomal RNA". It matches the Rfam family "Bacterial small subunit ribosomal RNA", at positions 28 to 507 of the family's 1533-position model. The record is from RNAcentral.